Long non-coding RNA from Daktulosphaira vitifoliae (grape phylloxera), 2261 nucleotides. RefSeq lists it as uncharacterized. The transcript is spliced from 4 exons. The record is from RefSeq and is a predicted model, not a curated record. NCBI's taxonomy places the organism in Eukaryota, Metazoa, Arthropoda, Insecta, Hemiptera, Phylloxeridae.
AUGAACGACCAUUAUUGUGGACACAAACAGAGCAGUCCUCUGUUAUAUCAUAUUGUGAUAGUGUCGAGUGUAUUAUGACAAUAUUGAAUUAAACUAUGUUGACAAUCAUUAAUAUCACUAACAACGACAUGCCAAUCAUUAGUAAUUGUAUAGUCUAAGAAUGAGAAUGUGAUUAUAUUGUUUCUAACAAUAAGUUCCUAUAUUCUUUAUCAAUUAUAUUUAUAUGGGCAUCAUCUAUUGUAUUUCUUAUUGAAGCUAAUUCAUUAGCGUUUCUGAUUUUAAAAGAACGAAUAGGAAAUCCAAUUUCAAGUUUGUCGGAUUGUUUAUUAAUCAUUUAUUUUAUGGUAUCGAAUUGUUUAAGAUAAGAAAAUCAUUGAUAGCACUAACAUUACUUAGAGCUUUGUCUCUAUAUUGUUAAAUAAUUUAUUAAUGUGCAUAAUAGUAGAAUGUAAUGACAAAUAAUUAUAUUAAUUCUAAUCCAAUACAAAAAUAAUUCACUCUAGAAUUAAGUUUUAUUUUUAUCAUAAUAUACAAAAAUAAAAGUAGAAGAAAAUAAAUAUUAUAAAAGCAUAGAACUCUACAUAAUUUUUCUGCGCUUUUCCAGUAGUAAAGUAAAUGUAUUUAUUACAUUAUUAAAGUUAAUUUUUUGUUCUAUAAUGAUCUCAAUACUCAAUAUAUCCAAAUUUGAUACGUUCUUGCUCAAAGUCAUUUUUGUCUCCAAACUGUUCACACGAUUCAUUUGCUCUACAUUUUAUUUUUAAAAAAUGUUCCUCAUUUCUGAAAGAUGGAAUAUCUGAAAAACAUGUUGAAACCAUAUCAUGUGCAGUUAUUAAAUCAAUUUUAGAAUUUUGUAAAUAAUUGUGCUUCUGAAAUAAUUUUUAAUUUUAUAUUGAGAAGUUCUCUAUCAGCAAUUCAUUGUAAUGAGUUAACAAUUUCUGGCAAGUUUAUGUACACCGAGUCUAUAACUCUAUUGUUAAAUCAUUGUUAAACGGAUUUACCAUUUCAAAAUAUCAGAAUUUAUAUGCUAUAAAAUAUUCACAGUAUAUUCAUUUAUAUAAUCUGUGGUAAAUGUAACAUAGAUAAUGCUAAUGUUAGCAUUCUUUAGCCUGUGCAAUGUAUUGACUUUAAUAAUAUGUUCAUUAUUUCAACAAAUUCUAUAUUUAGCUAUGAAAUACUAUCUUCUCGUUACCAUUGUUAAUUUGCACUUUUUCUACAUGGAGAAAUAAAUCUGUAUUGUAGCUGAACUGUUAAUUUUUUUUUCAUUUAAAUUAAUUUAUUAAUAAAAUAACAAAUUCAAAAUUAUUUGUUAUCUUUAACCAAAAAAUCCUGAAACAGCGGUGACUCUAAUCAAGUAAAAAAUGAUUAAAAACUAUAUUACAUCAUCUAUAUGCAACUGGAAAUUUGAUUUAGGUGAUUUAGAGUCUGGUCCAAAAAGAUUCAUAUUAGAGUCUAUUAUUAAUAGCUAAUGAAUUAUAUUUAGCUAAUUCCAUUAACAAAACCAUGGCUCCAAUCCUUCAUUUUAUUAUGUGGAUCUAGAGGUCUCAAAAAUGGAAAACUAACAAAGCUUGUUCUAGUACAAAAACUCAUAAAUAAUUGUUAAAAAACUGACACUGUUCAUAUCCAGUUAAUAAUUCAAUCUAAACUAGAAGUUGAUGCUUAUAGGGAAUAUAUGAAAAGUCUAAUUAACAUAACAAUUUAUUGAGUAUCCAAAGAAUGGCCCGUCACAAUAAAAAUAAUUCAUCAUUAAAUCAAUGUAGGGAACUAAUUUAAGUAAUCUAAUCACCUAAUAAUAAGUAAUUAAAACUGAGAAGAUAUAAUUAUUAAUUUUUUAAUAAAUAACUUUUCUUGGGAAAUUUCAACGAAACUUGUGUUUUAUUUUCCAAGCAUAUACCUAAGUUUUCUGAAAUAUUCAACAAAGAAACAAAUCACAUUAGUCAUCAUAUUCAAAAUUAAAUAAUUGAAAUAUGUGCAAAUAGAAUAAGAGAUUCAAUUAUAGAAGACAGUAAUACACAGACUUAGUAUAAUGUUUGAUGAAGCAAGAUAUUAUAAAGAAGAACAAAUGUUUUAUAUUAUUUUAAAACUUGUAAAUUAAAUACUAAAACUCAAAUAACUUCACAAUCCUAUAUUUAUGCUAACAUCAUGUCUGGAAAUUUAAUGGAGUCAAUCAAAAAUUAGAAUUAAAUUUUCAAAAGCGAUUUUUACUCAUUGUAUGUUCAUAGAAUAAAUAUUUUUCUUGCAGAUAUGUGAAAAAAUAUUAAAGU